RNAcentral lists this ribosomal RNA (1372 nucleotides) under uncultured bacterium. RNAcentral describes it as "bacterial SSU rRNA". It matches the Rfam family "Bacterial small subunit ribosomal RNA", at positions 28 to 1381 of the family's 1533-position model. The record is from RNAcentral.
GAUGAACGCUGGCGGCGUGCCUAAUACAUGCAAGUCGAGCGAACGGACGAGAAGCUUGCUUCUCUGAUGUUAGCGGCGGACGGGUGAGUAACACGUGGAUAACCUACCUAUAAGACUGGGAUAACUUCGGGAAACCGGAGCUAAUACCGGAUGAUAUUUUGAACCGCAUGGUUCAAAAGUGAAAGACGGUCUUGCUGUCACUUAUAGAUGGAUCCGCGCUGCAUUAGCUAGUUGGUAAGGUAACGGCUUACCAAGGCAACGAUGCAUAGCCGACCUGAGAGGGUGAUCGGCCACACUGGAACUGAGACACGGUCCAGACUCCUACGGGAGGCAGCAGUAGGGAAUCUUCCGCAAUGGGCGAAAGCCUGACGGAGCAACGCCGCGUGAGUGAUGAAGGUCUUCGGAUCGUAAAACUCUGUUAUUAGGGAAGAACAUAUGUGUAAGUAACUGUGCUCAUCUUGACGGUACCUAAUCAGAAAGCCACGGCUAACUACGUGCCAGCAGCCGCGGUAAUACGUAGGUGGCAAGCGUUAUCCGGAAUUAUUGGGCGUAAAGCGCGCGUAGGCGGUUUUUUAAGUCUGAUGUGAAAGCCCACGGCUCAACCGUGGAGGGUCAUUGGAAACUGGAAAACUUGAGUGCAGAAGAGGAAAGUGGAAUUCCAUGUGUAGCGGUGAAAUGCGCAGAGGUAUGGAGGAACACCAGUGGCGAAGGCGACUUUCUGGUCUGUAACUGACGCUGAUGUGCGAAAGCGUGGGGAUCAAACAGGAUUAGAUACCCUGGUAGUCCACGCCGUAAACGAUGAGUGCUAAGUGUUAGGGGGUUUCCGCCCCUUAGUGCUGCAGCUAACGCAUUAAGCACUCCGCCUGGGGAGUACGACCGCAAGGUUGAAACUCAAAGGAAUUGACGGGGACCCGCACAAGCGGUGGAGCAUGUGGUUUAAUUCGAAGCAACGCGAAGAACCUUACCAAAUCUUGACAUCCUUUGACAACUCUAGAGAUAGAGCCUUCCCCUUCGGGGGACAAAGUGGCAGGUGGUGCAUGGUUGUCGUCAGCUCGUGUCGUGAGAUGUUGGGUUAAGUCCCGCAACGAGCGCAACCCUUAAGCUUAGUUGCCAUCAUUAAGUUGGGCACUCUAAGUUGACUGCCGGUGACAAACCGGAGGAAGGUGGGGAUGACGUCAAAUCAUCAUGCCCCUUAUGAUUUGGGCUACACACGUGCUACAAUGGACAAUACAAAGGGCAGCGAAACCGCGAGGUCAAGCAAAUCCCAUAAAGUUGUUCUCAGUUCGGAUUGUAGUCUGCAACUCGACUACAUGAAGCUGGAAUCGCUAGUAAUCGUAGAUCAGCAUGCUACGGUGAAUACGUUCCCGGGUCU